AUACGGAGGAUCCGAGCGUUAUCCGGAUUUAUUGGGUUUAAAGGGUGCGCAGGCGGCCAUUUAAGUCAGCGGUUAAAUCGUGGGGCUCAACCCCAUUCUGCCGUUGAUACUGGGUGGCUUGAUUGCGGUCGAGGUUGGCGGAAUUCGUUGUGUAGCGGUGAAAUGCAUAGAUAUGACGAAGAACACCGAUUGCGUAGGCAGCUGACCAGACCGCAAAUGACGCUCAUGCACGAAAGUGCGGGGAUCGAACAGGAUUAGAUACCCUGGUAGUCCUCACAGUAAACGAUGAAUACUUGUUUUCGGCGAUAUAAUGUCGGAGGCAAAGCGAAAGCGAUAAGUAUUCCACCUGGGGAGUACGCCGGCAACGGUGAAACUCAAAGGAAUUGACGGGG
Molecule: ribosomal RNA, 392 nt
Filed under: uncultured bacterium
Lineage: Bacteria
Description: partial 16S ribosomal RNA
Rfam family: Bacterial small subunit ribosomal RNA
Source: RNAcentral